UGUGUCCCUGCUACCAGUGGCCCUCUGCCAUAUUUAUUCAUGCCGGGCAAGAUGGCGGCGAUACGGACGAUGUGUUAUUGCCAGUGGACAUAAACAGGCAUUUUAUUCAAAAUACAAAACCUAGUCCGAUACAUUUACACACUUAGCCGCAUUCUGUGGUUAUUUACCGCGCAACAAGCGUCGACUUCUUUUUCAUUUUACGCGUUUCAACGUUUUUUUCUUACAAAAUGUUCACGUUGUAGCUCGCUCGCUAACCGACCAGCUGGCUAACAGAGAGCUAAGUUAGCUAUCUACCGCAGCCAAGCCGCCGUGAAGUGGAGAAUGGGAGAAAAGCUUGAGCUAAAGCUCAAAUCACCGGUUGGAGCAGAACCUGCUGGUUAUCCGUGGCCAUUGCCAGUAUACGAUAAACACCAUGAUGCUGCUCAUGAAAUCAUCGAGACCAUUCGGUGGGUGUGUGAGGAGAUCCCAGACCUCAAACUGGCCAUGGAAAACUACGUACUCAUUGACUAUGACACCAAGAGCUUCGAGAGUAUGCAGAGACUUUGUGACAAGUACAACAGGGCCAUCGACAGCAUUCACCAGCUGUGGAAAGGGACGACGCAGCCCAUGAAGCUCAACAAGCGUCCUUCAAACGGGCUGCUGAGACACAUCCUACAGCAGGUGUACAACCACUCAGUUACCGACCCGGAGAAGCUGAACAACUAUGAGCCCUUCUCCCCUGAGGUGUACGGAGAGACCUCUUUCGACCUGGUGGCUCAGAUCAUCGACGAGAUGGAAAUGAUGGAAGAUGACACCUUUGUUGACCUCGGCAGUGGAGUUGGUCAGGUAGUGCUGCAAGUUGCAGCAGCAACCAACUGUAAACACUACUACGGUGUAGAGAAAGCAGACAUUCCAGCUACAUAUGCAGAGACCAUGGAUAAAGAGUUUAAAAAGUGGAUGAAAUGGUACGGGAAGAAACAUGGGGAGUACACACUGGAGAGAGGUGACUUUCUGUCUGAAGAAUGGAAGGAAAGAAUCGCCACCACAAGUAUUAUUUUUGUGAAUAACUUUGCCUUUGGUCCAGAAGUAGAUCACCAGCUGAAGGAGCGCUUUGCUAACAUGAAGGAAGGUGGAAAAAUUGUGUCCUCCAAACCUUUUGCACCUUUAAAUUUUAGAAUAAACAGUCGAAACUUGAGUGAUAUUGGCACAAUAAUGCGUGUGGUGGAGCUUUCUCCACUGAGGGGCUCUGUGUCCUGGACGGGAAAGCCAGUGUCCUACUACCUGCACACCAUAGACCGCACCAUACUUGAAAACUAUUUUGCUAGUCUCAAAAAUCCUAAACUCAGGGAGGAGCAAGAGGUAGCUAGGCGACGUCAGCAGAAGGACACAAAGGACAGUAAAAGCAAUAGCACCACGCCCACUAAACCUAAAGAACAAAACAAGCAGGACUCCUGUGGUGAGGAUGAGCGUCCUAGCUUGGUGACAGUGGUCAAGCCCUCUGCUAAACCCCGAAGAGCCCGACUCUUGCCCAAAGCUCGCAAGUUGAACAACAAGAAACGUGGUCGACCCAAGAAAGCUGCCCCGGCUGCCGAGAAGAAAAACAAGAAGAAUCAGAGCGCAUUGGAUCUGCUUCAUGCCAAGACCCUUUCGGCGGCACCCCCUCAGGAUGCAUACCGGCAACCUCAGAGUCCCUUCUACCAGCUUCCCCCCAAGGUCCAGCACUAUCCCUCUAGUCAGCUGCUUCUGAGCCCGACUCCUCCUGGUCUGCAACAACUGCUAGACAACAUCAAAGUUCAAUACCUCCAGUUUAUGACCCACAUGAAGACUCCUCAGUACCGCUCAAACCUGCAGCAGCUUUUAGAACAGGAGAAGCAAAAACACAGGGACCUGUCAGGGCAGGCAGAGCAGCUCCACUCUGUUUGUCAGUCUCACAAGGAUAAGAUUAAAGGUCUCUUUCAGACCAAACUAGAUGAGCUGGGAGUGAAAGCAUUGACUGUGGAGGACCUGCUGCAGGCCCAGACGGAGAUAUCAGCCCACAAUCAUCAGCUGAAAGAGCAGACUAAGCAGCUUGAGAGAGACAUGGCCUUGCUGAGAGACCACAGCCUGCUACUGCUGAAGUCUCGAUGUGAGGAGCUAAAGCUAGAUUGGGGCUCUUUGUGUCUGGAGAGUUUGUUGAAGGAGAAGCAGGCACUACGCAGACAGAUCUCUGAGAAACAGAGACACUGCUUGGAGCUGCAGAUCAGCAUUGUGGAGCUGGAGAAAAGUCAAAGGCAGCAGGAGCUGCUUCACCUUAAAUCCUACAGCCCCUGUGAUGGCUCCCCAUACAGAAAGAGCCUAGAAUCUCGCUCUUCCACAGACCUGGACACCUCUAAGCUUGGCCUGUCCUCGGCCCCAGCCCUCAACGGCGUCAGCCCAGAGCUGUCUAUCAAUGGCACAAGCUCACCCUGUUUUGACCGGGCCAACACCAAGGGGGAGCUUCUUUCUCGCUACCUGCCCAUCUCUCCAGACCAUGAGAUUUUACCCACCAUCCCCGAUGUCCGGCAAAGGCAGCAAAGUUUGUCCUACGCUCUUCCUGAUUACACACGCUUCUCCCCCGCAAAGAUUGCCUUGCGGAGACACCUUAACCAGGACCCCACAGCCUCUGCUCACUUGAGAAGUCCAGGGCUGACCGCACACAGGGAAUUGGGUGGUGUGAACUCUCCGCUUGGAGCCAAAAUGAACUGCCCCUCUCCCAAUGCAGCUGAUGCCCAGAUUAAAAGUUUUGAGAGGGGUGGUAAGGAGAGGAGCCCAUCUGUUCAGGGUGACAACAGCAUUACGAGCCUUCCAAUAAGUAUCCCUCUAAGCACUGUCCACCCAAGUAAACUACCAGUCAGCAUCCCCCUGGCGAGCGUGGUGCUGCCCAGUCGUGCUGAGAGACUGAGAAGUACUCCGAGUCCUGUGUUUCAGGCAGGUCAGACCAAUGGAUAUUCAUCCAGCUCAGGGCUGAUGAAUGGAGGUCCCCAUCCUGAGGACCAUAAUGGGGCUUCUUCAUCACCUCCUCCACACCCCAACACUACUUUGGCAGGACCAUUGGGCAGAGGAGGUCCCAUCCAGAGCCCCCCACUCAGCACUGGAGGGGUGCUCCAGUAUGCAGAUGGGCCCCCGAGGAUUCUUCCAGAAGACGGACAGGAUCGUCAAGGAGGUGACUCCGACACGGAGCCCCAGGACAGUGAACUGCGGAGGAGAAUCUUCUUCUCCUCUUGCUCCUCUUCCUCCUCGUCUUCCUCUUCGUCAGGCAGUGGAGGCAGCGCGGCCGUAGGAUCACGCCUCCACCAUCACACUGGCAACAAGCAGGGAUACCACAGUAACCAUGGAAACCACCACCACCAGUCCCCCGGCACACAGCACACUCCCACACCCACACACAUGUCGUCAUUACACGCCUCUCACAGCCUCGUCUCUCAAGAGGGACGUAAGCGGGGGAGAAGGAAACGCAGCUCUACCGUGGCUGUCGCAGCCAGCGGAUCUCCGAAGAGGAGGUCGUUCCCCGGGCUCUGCUCCAACAACCACUCCUCAGGAUCGCCACUCAACAUCAACACCAUGGUGAACAACAUCAACCAGCCUCUGGAGAUCUCUGCCAUCUCCUCCCCAGAACAAUCAAGCCGUAGCCCCACUGGGCCUGACCUGGACCAGCCUCCCAUCUUGAAGAGAGAGCGCCCCCUGGAGCUCAAUGGCACAGGCCGUUACUCCUCUGCCCCCAGCUCUGAUGACGAGGACUCGGGAUACCCUGCGGACAGCUCUAGUUCACGAAUUGAAAGAAAAAUUGCCACUAUAUCCCUGGAGAGCAGAGAUGGACCUGGUAGACUAGGGGAUGGUGAAAGAGUCAGGAAGUCUGGCGGCAGCAGUGGUAACAGCACAGGCAGCGAGGCCUCCUCUACAUCCUCCUUGUCCUCUACCAGCAAGUGGAAAUCCACCUUUUCACCCAUUUCUGACCCCAAGCAACCCAACUCUGACCUGAGACAGGGGGGGUCUCCAUUUGGCAUGGGGGGGUCGAGCCGGGGCACAGACUCAGAUUCUGACCACAAACAGCAGCAUCAGCAGGUGAGGAAAGGAAGUGACGGAGAGUCGUCCAGCUACAUGAACCCCAACCCCUUCCUCAGUCAGGAGGCAGGGCUGCGGGGGGGCGGCGGUGGCGGCGGCGGCGGAACCCAGGGAUGCAGCGGUUCCGACCAACGCCAGGCCCUCCAGAAGCAGAAGGCCCCUCGCGACUGGGAACUGAAGACGAGCAGCAGCAUGGCCAGUCAGAACCUCUUCAUAUCUGCUGCUGCCAGCAGUGGUGGGGGCAUUUUGAGUGGGAAGGUGGGGGGCAGUCCUGUAGCAGUUUCCUCAACCACAGGAUCCUCUGUGGGGCAGUACCUGGGGUCUCAGUUCCCACUCGGAGGGACGUCUGUUCUACAGUCCUUGUUCGGGGCCCAGACGGGCGGAUCCACGGUGAGUGGGACUCCAAGGCUCGUCAACGGACACUCAGCCCUGGGAAGCUUCUCCAGCGCUGGGCUGGCGGGGGGAGUGGCUGGAGGUAUAUUUCACCACGUGGUUCCCACAGUGUCUUCCCAUCAGUUUGGGGUGACGCUGCCCACCUCUGGAGGCCUCAGCUCUCUGCUCAGUCUCUCGUCCUCGUCCUCUACCUCCUCCCAAACCCAGCAGCACACCACUCCCCAGCCAGCCUCCAUGCGCCUGGCCUCCGUGUCCUCGCCUCUCCCCCUCUCCCAGGCUCAGCACAGCCGCACUCAGUCAGUCCUGCACAGCCCCUCUCCUCCCACGCUCACCCUGCCCCCUCCCCCGCCCCUCCACAGCACCUCCUCCUCAGCACCCACGCACUCGGACGCCCCGCCAUCAUCUCGAUCCGACUCCCUCCACUCCUCCCGUCUGUCCCACUCCUCUCUCCAUCACCAGAGAGCACAGUCAUCCCUCUCUCUCUCCAUCUCCGCCUCCUCUGCUUCUGUCUCUGCUGCUGCCACCGCUGCCGCUUCCCUCUCCUCUUCCUCUCUGUCGACAUCCUCCUCGUCUCGUCCAUUCGCAGUGCACUACUCCCCUCGGCUGCCCCCUCCACCACAGGCCAGCAGCUCAGGUGGUGGCGGGAGCAUGUGGAGGACUCAGGGCAUGCAUGGUAACUACACAACCUCCCAGCUCCCUGGCUCCCGACCUAGAUAGGGUUUGGGGGGGAAGGGGGGGGGGGGGAAGGGCGAAGGGCAAUCAGAAGGUGGAGAGAAUGAGAGAGAGAGAGAGAGAGAGAGACUGGUAGGGAGUGAGAGAGACAGGAUACCUGUUUUUCAUGUGCUCCCAAAACAGUGAUGUUCUGAUUAAGCAAGGUAAUUGUUGAAAACUACCUCAAAAUUAAAUAAACUAUGCAAAUGUCCAGGUGUGGACCAAGGCACUCUCCUCACUCACUGGUGCUUGAAAUCGUCUGCACUACCCAACCGCCUCCAAGACCGGCUUCUGUACUGGGAUCUCUGAGAGACACACACACACACACACACACACACACACACACACACACACACACACACACACACACACACACACACUCACACUCACACUCAAUAACCACCACUAUGGUCACCUUGAACAGAAUUCACAGGUACCGGUCAUGUUUAUGUGUUGGUUUGAAGAUUUUGCAAUAUGGAAAUCAGUACUGGCUGCUGCUCAGCACUCAAAUGAACUGAAUUAUAAAGAUUUCUGGUUUAAAUUAAAGGUGCUCAAUAGUA
Perca flavescens (yellow perch) is the source of this 5723-nucleotide RNA transcript. It is a transcript of the gene named DOT1-like histone H3K79 methyltransferase, with no coding region annotated. The record is from RefSeq and is a predicted model, not a curated record. The transcript has 29 exons. NCBI's taxonomy places the organism in Eukaryota, Metazoa, Chordata, Actinopteri, Perciformes, Percidae.